This 28-nucleotide non-coding RNA is filed under the name Bombyx mori (domestic silkworm). Lineage: Eukaryota; Metazoa; Arthropoda; Insecta; Lepidoptera; Bombycidae. The record is from RNAcentral.
UACAUAAGUGGGAUCAUCCUGAUUUGUC